Molecule: ribosomal RNA, 465 nt
Filed under: uncultured bacterium
Lineage: Bacteria
Description: partial 16S ribosomal RNA
Rfam family: Bacterial small subunit ribosomal RNA
Source: RNAcentral
GACGAACGCUGGCGGCGUGCUUAACACAUGCAAGUCGAACGGUGAACUCCGCUUGCGGGGGGAUCAGUGGCGAACGGGUGAGUAACACGUGGGCAACCUGCCCUCAGCUCUGGGAUAACUCCAAGAAAUUGGGGCUAAUACCGGAUAUGACCGCUGACCGCAUGGUCUGGUGGUGGAAAGAUUUAUCGGCUGGGGAUGGGCCCGCGGCCUAUCAGCUUGUUGGUGGGGUAGUGGCCUACCAAGGCGACGACGGGUAGCCGGCCUGAGAGGGUGACCGGCCACACGGGGACUGAGACACGGCCCAGACUCCUACGGGAGGCAGCAGUGGGGAAUAUUGCGCAAUGGGCGAAAGCCUGACGCAGCGACGCCGCGUGGGGGAUGACGGCCUUCGGGUUGUAAACCUCUUUCAGCAGGGACGAAGCGAAAGUGACGGUACCUGCAGAAGAAGCACCGGCCUACUACGUG